This 253-nucleotide ribosomal RNA is filed under the name uncultured bacterium. Its description in RNAcentral is "partial 16S ribosomal RNA". It matches the Rfam family "Bacterial small subunit ribosomal RNA", at positions 524 to 776 of the family's 1533-position model. The record is from RNAcentral.
UACGUAGGGUGCAAGCGUUGUCCGGAAUUAUUGGGCGUAAAGAGCGUGUAGGCGGUCUGGCAAGUCCGCUGUGAAAACUCGAGGCUUAACCUCGAGACGUCGGUGGAAACUGCCUGGCUAGAGUCCGGAAGAGGAGAGUGGAAUUCCUGGUGUAGCGGUGAAAUGCGCAGAUAUCAGGAAGAACACCCGUGGCUAAGGCGGCUCUCUAGUACGGUACUGACGCUGAGACGCGAAAGCGUGGGGAGCGAACAGG